Non-coding RNA from Cricetulus griseus (Chinese hamster), 1056 nucleotides. The record is from RefSeq and is a predicted model, not a curated record. NCBI's taxonomy places the organism in Eukaryota, Metazoa, Chordata, Mammalia, Rodentia, Cricetidae.
GCUUGCUGUAGAGACUGCUACCACCGGCUGGCUAGGUCACUCUUUCUCCAGAGAUGGAUAUUUGGAUUACUUCCAACUCCUGGCCAUUGGAUAAUAAAUAUAUCAGGAAACCAGGCUUCCACAGUAAGAUGAGAAAUAGAGGCUUAGCAGCAGAUGAAGAAAAGAAGCUGUAUGAGGUCACCUUGGACAAUCUGUUGACUAAUGUGGGUUGGCACAGGAAAAGGACUGAACCAGUCUGCUUAGGGCAAGCAUCCACCAACUUUGCUGCUCCUGUUCUGAGGCACUUCCAGCUUCAAUGCAGUAAUUUCAUUUUUCAUACUGCUUCUGAUGUAAACCAGCUUCUGGAUCACAUUGCAAAGUAUUUUGAUGGCUGAGGAAAGGUUAUCUCAUGUGAAAUUUAGGUUUUUCAUUUUUGUGAUUCAAGCACAUUAGUGGUUACAAAACCUGAAAUAGACAUUUUCACUGGGAAAUCUGAAUAAAUGGUAGCUGCUUUCUGGCAGAUGGAGGAAUAUAGUUCAUAUCUAAAUAUGAGCUUUGUUUAUUUUUAUCAGAUUACCAACUCCACAAAUUGGAUUAAUGUAUAAAUUUAAAUGUGGCAGGCAUAAAGCUUCAUAGAAGGGAUUUUAUUUCUAACCUUCCAAUAUUACUGGGUAACUUAAAAUUUUUAAGUAGGGUUCAAUCUUAUUGAGUUAUUUAAAAAGUAAUACAGCAGGAUGGUAUUCUUUACUCUGACUCCAGUAGUGGUGGUAUAUACAAUGAUGGUAUUUCUAUGAUAGGCUACUUGAAAGGAUGUUGUCUGCUAAUUGAAUAUACUGGCAUUCUGUAGGUAAAAGGUAGAAAAAUUAAAACUGCUGCUGAGGCUCUGUGAAAAAUUGUCAGUUGCUACUGAGAAAGCUGUGCAUUCGGCAUCCAAAAGCCCAGGGGGUCUUAGACAUAGUCAGAGGCAACACUGAACUCUUUAACUAAGGUCAGCUUGGCACUUAAGGUCAAUGAUUCCUGGGGUCUCUGUCAUCAAUUGCCUUUUGGAGUAGUGAAUAAAAAGUGGACUUCACUGUC